RNAcentral lists this small RNA (27 nucleotides) under Arabidopsis thaliana (thale cress). RNAcentral's name for it is "ATSL299130". The record is from RNAcentral. Lineage: Eukaryota; Viridiplantae; Streptophyta; Magnoliopsida; Brassicales; Brassicaceae.
UGUGCUCAUUUGUUUCUUCUUCUCUUU